GGAGCACAGAGCGGACAAACACAGGAAAACUAAUGCUAUUCUUGCUUCAGAUUUUCUGUUGCAUUUUUUGUGUCAUGUGCAUAUCACUGGGCAUUGAACAGGAAAUGCAAACAUGGGACAAAGAUAACCGUUUCAUUUCCAAUAAAAAAAAGGGUCACGAGGAAACCUGGAGCCUAUCCCAGGGCGCAUCGGGCACAAGGCGGGGUACACCCUGGACAGGGUAAGCCUGGAAAGUUGUCAGGAGUCUCAGUGCAGCUUGGGAGAAGAAAGAGACAAGCUGGAAGAAUGCCCAGAUGUGGAUGGGAGAAUGGAGGUCCAGGUUUUCCCCUAUUUCACAGCUACCUCUUCAGGAGGUUGGAUUUAAAAAAAUGUUCCUCUGAGACUGAUGAAGCCAUUACCAAUAGCUUAUCCAGCUGCAAUGUCACAGGACAGCUGAAGGUGCUACUGUAUUGAACAGAAAUGAAAAGACAGAUGUCUGUGAUUGGAUAGCAGCAUACUAAUUACUGCACAGGAAGAAGGAAAACAAGAGAAACAUUUCCAUCCAGAGAGCCAAGCCAGUUAUGCUUUCUUGGACUUCUAGCCACAGAUGACUGUAGCAUUACGAGGAUUUUAAGCUGCAAUCUCCUGACAAUAACUGAAAAUCUUAGCUAAACCACUUAGGUGACGGUUCCCACUUGUUUUGCUCACAUUCUUCUUUAUUCUUGUGAAUGUCAACAGUCACAUUAUCAAUAAAG
Long non-coding RNA from Ictalurus punctatus (channel catfish), 734 nucleotides. NCBI's taxonomy places the organism in Eukaryota, Metazoa, Chordata, Actinopteri, Siluriformes, Ictaluridae. The record is from Ensembl.